ACCAGCGUGAAACUCAAAAAACUUGACGGUGUCUCACACCUACCUAGAGGAGCCUGUUCUAUAAUCGAUAACCCACGCUAAACCUCUCCCACAAUUGUACCACCAGCCUAUAUACCUCCGUCGCCAGCCCGCCUGAUAACAGACACCAAGCGAGUAUAAUAGUCCAACCACUAGCACGACAGGUCAAGGUGUAGCUAAUAUGUGGGCUGCAAUGGGCUACAUUUUUUAUUCUUAAAACAAACCCGAGUGUUAUGAAAACCGCACAAAAAGGUGGAUUUAGCAGUAAGCAAGGAUUAGCAUGCCCGCCUGAAACCUGCCCUGAGAUGCGUACACACCGCCCGUCACCCUCCUCAACAACACACUAAGACUAUAACUAAUCAUACAUCUAACACUAGAUGAGGCAAGUCGUAACAUGGUAAGCGUACUGGAAGGUGCGCUUGGAUACUCCUGAGGAUAGCUUAAUCUAAAGCAUUGGGCUUACAACUCAA
This 488-nucleotide ribosomal RNA is filed under the name Uroplatus ebenaui. Its description in RNAcentral is "partial 12S ribosomal RNA". It matches the Rfam family "Bacterial small subunit ribosomal RNA", at positions 888 to 1533 of the family's 1533-position model. The record is from RNAcentral. Lineage: Eukaryota; Metazoa; Chordata; Lepidosauria; Squamata; Gekkonidae.